GACGAACGCUGGCGGCGUGCUUAACACAUGCAAGUCGAACGGAAAGGCCCUGCUUGCAGGGUGCUCGAGUGGCGAACGGGUGAGUAACACGUGGGUGAUCUGCCCCUUACUUUGGGAUAAGCCUGGGAAACUGGGUCUAAUACUGGAUAGGACCAUGCUGUAGGUGGUGUGGUGGAAAGAUUAGUUUCGGUAAGGGAUGAGCUCGCGGCCUAUCAGCUUGUUGGUGGGGUAAUGGCCUACCAAGGCGUCGACGGGUAGCCGGCCUGAGAGGGUGGACGGCCACUUUGGGACGGAGAAAGGGCCCAGACCCCCAGGGGGGGGAGAGAGGGGGAAAAUUGCACAAGGGGCGAAAGCUUGAUGCGGCGACGCCGCGGGGGGGAGGACGGCCUUGGGGUUGUAAACCCCUUUCAGCCCGGGCAAAGCCCUUGUGGUGAGGGUAGUGGUAAAAAAAGCCCCGGCUAACUACGU
This 468-nucleotide ribosomal RNA is filed under the name uncultured bacterium. Its description in RNAcentral is "partial 16S ribosomal RNA". It matches the Rfam family "Bacterial small subunit ribosomal RNA", at positions 28 to 506 of the family's 1533-position model. The record is from RNAcentral.